Molecule: small nuclear RNA, 105 nt
Organism: Schistocerca nitens (vagrant locust)
Lineage: Eukaryota; Metazoa; Arthropoda; Insecta; Orthoptera; Acrididae
Source: RefSeq, a predicted model, not a curated record
GUAUUUGCUUUGGAACUACAUAUACUUGAUUGGAAUGGUACAGAGAUCAUUAACAUGGCUUUACACAAGGAUAACCAGCAAAAUUAUGAAGUGUUCCCCAUUUUU